CCUACGGGGCGCAGCAGUGGGGAAUAUUGCACAAUGGGGGAAACCCUGAUGCAGCGACGCCGCGUGAGCGAAGAAGUAUUUCGGUAUGUAAAGCUCUAUCAGCAGGGAAGAAAAUGACGGUACCUGAGUAAGAAGCUCCGGCUAAAUACGUGCCAGCAGCCGCGGCAAUACGUAUGGAGCAAGCGUUAUCCGGAUUUACUGGGUGUAAAGGGAGCGCAGGCGGCCUUGCAAGUCUGAUGUGAAAUACCGGGGCUCAACCCCGGAGCUGCAUUGGAAACUGUGAGGCGUGAGUGUCGGACAGGCAG
This 305-nucleotide ribosomal RNA is filed under the name uncultured bacterium. RNAcentral's name for it is "bacterial SSU rRNA". It matches the Rfam family "Bacterial small subunit ribosomal RNA", at positions 338 to 660 of the family's 1533-position model. The record is from RNAcentral.